GACGAACGCUGGCGGCGUGCUUAACGCAUGCAAGUCGAGCGGUAAGGCCCUUUCGGGGGUACACGAGCGGCGAACGGGUGAGUAACACGUGGGUGACCUGCCCUCAGCUCUGGGAUAAGCCUGGGAAACUGGGUCUAAUACUGGAUAUGACUCCACGGUGCAUGUCGUGGGGUGGAAAGCCUUGUGCGGCUGAGGAUGGGCCCGCGGCCUAUCAGCUUGUUGGUGGGGUGAUGGCCUACCAAGGCGACGACGGGUAGCCGGCCUGAGAGGGCGACCGGCCACACUGGGACUGAGACACGGCCCAGACUCCUACGGGAGGCAGCAGUGGGGAAUCUUGCGCAAUGGGCGAAAGCCUGACGCAGCGACGCCGCGUGAGGGAUGACGGCCU
Molecule: ribosomal RNA, 388 nt
Filed under: uncultured bacterium
Lineage: Bacteria
Description: bacterial SSU rRNA
Rfam family: Bacterial small subunit ribosomal RNA
Source: RNAcentral